AUCUCUCUAUCUUCUUCUCUCUCUCCUUUCUUCACAAAAGAGAAAUCCCUCAAACUUGGAGAAAUCCCUAACCCGUCGCCUAUUCCUUCUCAUGCCAUCCCCGUCCUCUAUUCGCCGCUGGUUAGCCGCCCUCUGUCACGACACAGCAGCUGCACCGAGCAGCCAUCACCGUCGCUGUCAUCGCUGUUCCGAGCAGCCAUCGCCGCUGGUUCGCGCUGUUGCCGCUGCUGCCUCCUCGACGGAAGGACGCUGCUGUCACCGGGAAAAGGGCGACACCGCGGCUCGUCGUAGUGGGAGGGCCAGCCGCCGGGGCGCUGCUGCCGCCACAACUCGUCCAGCAACCUCCCUCCACUGCCGGCGACUUCCCUUCCCCGCCAACACUCCGAACUACCCCGAUUCAACCCGCAAUUACGUUCUCAAAACAAAGUUAAGUUCUUUCGGGCUUUUGAUUACAUACGGCGAAUGUUCGAUUAGUUUCGAUUGUUGAUUGUUAACUUGUUGAAUUGGUUAUGGAAGUGAAAAUAUGAACAACAUAUAUGCAUAGCAACUAUCUACUCAUGCUUUGGGAUUGAGAAGGGAGUAUACCUCCAAAUUGGUUGGUCUUGGUGGUGAAUGGACAAGAAUGUGUAAUGUGAGGAGGAGAGUUUGAAAGGCUAAAGUAGUGGCUUUGGGGUGACUCUUGGAUGGAAGCAUUGAUGGUGGAAGAGGGAAGGUGAAAGAGUUGGAGAAGAUGAAAAGUGGAAAGUCUCCAUGGUUGGGGUGGUCGGCCGAGAGGGAAGAAGGGGAGGAAAGAAAAAAAUGUGGGGCUUGUUCCCAUUUGUUUGGAGGAAAAAUUGGGCUCAACAUAAUUUAUGUGUUGUUGGGCUCAAGUUAUUGUAAGCCCAUAUUGAAAAUAUUAUUAUUUAGUUAAACUUUUUGAAAAGUUAGGGUCCAAGCUAUUUUGUAGAUAGACAAUUGGACUCUAAUUAAAUUUGCAAAGCCCAACAUAAAAUUCAUACUUUAUAUUUUCGUA
Long non-coding RNA from Salvia splendens (bonfire salvia), 1012 nucleotides. RefSeq lists it as uncharacterized. NCBI's taxonomy places the organism in Eukaryota, Viridiplantae, Streptophyta, Magnoliopsida, Lamiales, Lamiaceae. The record is from RefSeq and is a predicted model, not a curated record. The transcript has 2 exons.